UUGAAUGAGAUAUGAUGUUGCAGAUAAAUUUUUUGAAGGAUGUAAAAAAAUGACAAGUAGUGGCAGAGAAUCAUUCUCAUGGAGUAGAUUUUCUUGAGUUCUCAGAGCAAGAACAUCCAUUUGUGGUUUUGACAGUUCUUAACAACAAUCCUGAGACUUUCGGUCCCGACCAUCGUCCAAUAGUGGAGUUUUCUCUUCAUAAUAUCCAAACAAUGAAGCUUCUCCAGAAGAUUCAGCAACAAUGUUUUAACACGAACAAAAAAGAUUUGUAGAAAAAUGACAAUACAACAACGCCACAGGAGAUGCAUUAUUAGUGGAAGGGAAUACCGACGAAGCUAAAAACAAGUGUGUCAGAGGUGCCAAUGAUGGAGAUCAACUGAAAAACAAAGGUGUUAAAGUAGCCAUCUCUGCAGAAGUAGACAAGCAGAAGAACAAGAAAGGUAAAAAGCUUAGAGGGGCAAAACAACAGCUAAAA
Molecule: long non-coding RNA, 475 nt
Organism: Capsicum annuum
Lineage: Eukaryota; Viridiplantae; Streptophyta; Magnoliopsida; Solanales; Solanaceae
Exons: 2
Source: RefSeq, a predicted model, not a curated record